RNAcentral lists this ribosomal RNA (253 nucleotides) under uncultured bacterium. RNAcentral describes it as "partial 16S ribosomal RNA". It matches the Rfam family "Bacterial small subunit ribosomal RNA", at positions 524 to 776 of the family's 1533-position model. The record is from RNAcentral.
UACGAAGGGGGCUAGCGUUACUCGGAUUGACUGGGCGUAAAGGGCGCGUAGGCGGUUUGUACAGUCAGACGUGAAAUUCCUGGGCUCAACCUGGGGGCUGCGUUUGAUACGUAUGGACUUGAGUUCGGAAGAGGGUCGUGGAAUUCCCAGUGUAGAGGUGAAAUUCGUAGAUAUUGGGAAGAACACCGGUGGCGAAGGCGGCGACCUGGUCCGAUACUGACGCUGAGGCGCGAAAGCGUGGGGAGCAAACAGG